Camellia sinensis is the source of this 856-nucleotide non-coding RNA. Lineage: Eukaryota; Viridiplantae; Streptophyta; Magnoliopsida; Ericales; Theaceae. The record is from RefSeq and is a predicted model, not a curated record.
GGACCUUCUUGGGAAGCCACUUUCUUGUAUAAUUUUUUUAUUUCGCUUUGGAGAAUGGAUGAGCGUCUUCUUUGACAUGGCUUGCAAAAUCUUAUCUCGCGGUUCAACAAUCGAAUCGAACAAUCACGGAAUCUUGUCUCUCUCUAUAUCUCUCAGUAGCGUCUCUUUCUCUCUCUCUGGACGAUGAUGGUGUUUCAUUGGAAAGAAAUAUCAGCACUUUUGCCUGUUCAAUGGUAUGCUUUGCGCCUGGGUUUAUUUGCAUCAAUUAUAUCACCAUAGCAGUUAUUUUUUGCAAGUGGCUUGAAGAGAGCUUUUCAAAUUAAGGAUUUUGGUGAUAGUAUAUUCCUGGACUUGGUGGGUUUACUGACAGAAUGGACUGUCAGUUGCUUGAAGCAGCCUGGUGUUUUACAAACAUAGCGGCAGGAAAGCCAGAAGAAACUAAAGCUUUGUUGACUGCUUUACCAUUGCUCAUUGCUCAUCUUGGAGGUUGAUGAUGGUUUCUGCAUUUUCCAUUCAAUGUGAAAGAAUGUAAAUGGUUCUUUCUUUUUCUUAUCAGAAAAAGUAAAUGCUUUUUCUUUUUCUUCUUCUUUUUGUGUGUAGUAUUUUUUUCUUUCUCCAUUUCCUCUGGCUUUCUGAGACCUAAGAGUGACUGACAGUAAUUAAAGAUAUCAGGUUAAGUACUAUACGUUGAAAUUGGAUUACGUAACCACAAGUAUGUCCAUUUUUGGAUCAUUGAACUGCUGUUUUUGUGGAAUAGCACUAUUAUUGAGUUGGGUGAAGUAGUGACGGUUAGGGUGGAAUAGCACUAUUAUUGAAGUCUCCAAAGUAUGCAUUGCUCAUUGCUCAUCUUGGAUUA